GGGUAUUGAGGUUUGGUAAAUUAACACUCAUAUCAGAUGGGGUAUGGGGACGGCUUGUUAUUUAGAAAUGUUAAAUGAAAGGGUUCACGUGUAGCAGGGACAUUCCUAUGAACCCAUAUGAAUACCAGUAAACUGGUAAAAAAAGUGAUAGUUAUUGUGGAUUUAUUGAUGAUAGACAUACAUUUAUAAUGUGUGCUAUGAUUGUUGAUUAUGCAUAA
RNAcentral lists this long non-coding RNA (218 nucleotides) under Carica papaya (papaya). RNAcentral's name for it is "long non-coding RNA (CPAP_LNC002746)". The record is from RNAcentral. Lineage: Eukaryota; Viridiplantae; Streptophyta; Magnoliopsida; Brassicales; Caricaceae.